GGGGACCUUCGGGGCCCUAUACCAUGGGCACCUACGGGGGCCUCAAUACAUAGGCGGGGGAACCCGCCGUUGCUAAACGGAAGACAGAAA
This is a non-coding RNA of Ruegeria pomeroyi DSS-3, 90 nucleotides long. The record is from Rfam. Lineage: Bacteria; Pseudomonadati; Pseudomonadota; Alphaproteobacteria; Rhodobacterales; Roseobacteraceae.